AACGCGAAGAACCUUACCUGGGCUCGAAAUGUAGUGGAAUCGGGUGGAAACAUCCGCGUCUCGCAAGAGACUGCUAUAUAGGUGCUGCAUGGCUGUCGUCAGCUCGUGUCGUGAGAUGUUGGGUUAAGUCCCGCAACGAGCGCAACCCUUAUUGCCAGUUGCCACCGGGUUAUGCCGAGCACUCUGGCGAAACCGCACAGGAUAACUGUGAGGAAGGUGGGGAUGACGUCAAGUCCUCAUGGCCUUUAUGUCCAGGGCUACACACGUGCUACAAUGGUCGGUACAAACCGUCGCAAACCCGCGAGGGGGAGCUAAUCGGAAAAAGCCGGCCUCAGUUCGGAUUGGAGUCUGCAACCCGACUCCAUGAAGCUGGAAUCGCUAGUAAUCGCGGAUCAGAACGCCGCGGUGAAUACGUUCCCGGGCCUUGUA
Molecule: ribosomal RNA, 429 nt
Filed under: uncultured Acidobacterium sp.
Lineage: Bacteria; Pseudomonadati; Acidobacteriota; Terriglobia; Terriglobales; Acidobacteriaceae
Description: bacterial SSU rRNA
Rfam family: Bacterial small subunit ribosomal RNA
Source: RNAcentral